Molecule: ribosomal RNA, 450 nt
Filed under: uncultured bacterium
Lineage: Bacteria
Description: partial 16S ribosomal RNA
Rfam family: Bacterial small subunit ribosomal RNA
Source: RNAcentral
CCUACGGGUGGCUGCAGUGGGGAAUUUUGGACAAUGGGGGCAACCCUGAUCCAGCCAUGCCGCGUGCGGGAAGAAGGCCUUCGGGUUGUAAACCGCUUUUGUCAGGAGAGAAAUCUCUUGGGCUAAUACCCUGAGAGGAUGACGGUACCUGAAGAAUAAGCACCGGCUAACUACGUGCCAGCAGCCGCGGUAAUACGUAGGGUGCAAGCGGUGCGUGGAGUUACUGGGCGUAGUGGUUGAACACACGGGUGAAAUCCCCGGGCUUAACCUGGGAACUGCACUUGUGACUGCACGGCUAGAGUACGGCAGAGGGGGAUGGAAUUCCGCGUGUAGCAGUGAAAUGCGUAGAUAUGCGGAGGAACACCGAUGGCGAAGGCAGUCCCCUGGGCCUGUACUGACGCUCAUGCACGAAAGCGUGGGGAGCAAACAGGAUUAGAUACCCCUGUAGUC